UCCACUGGCUUCGGAACCAUGAGGAGGUGGUGGCCGGGGGCCGAGUAGCCAUCACCACUGAAGGCACAUGCCACACGCUGACCAUCUCCAAGUGCAGCCUGGAGGAUGUGGGUGAGGUGGCCUUUGUGGCUGGGGACUGCCGGACGUCCACUCAGUUCUUGGUGUCAGCCCCCAGGAAGCCACCACCACACACCCCUGAGGCCCCUGUGGUCAAGGCCAAGACAGAGAGUUCCGUGACUCUCAGCUGGUCCCCACCACCCCAUGGGGACCGCCCUGUCACCAUUGAUGGCUACGUGGUGGAGAAGAAGCGAUUGGGCACCUACACUUGGAGCCGAUGCCAUGAGGCCGAGUGGGUGGCUACACCUGAGCUGACUGUGGACUGUGUGGCUGAGGAGGGGGACUUCCAGUUCCGUGUGUCAGCUGUAAACAGCUUUGGCCAGAGCUCCUACCUUGAGUUCCCGGGGACUGUCCACCUGGCACCCCAGCUGGCUGUGAAGACGCCUCUGAAGGCAGUGGAGGC
Myotis lucifugus (little brown bat) is the source of this 520-nucleotide long non-coding RNA. RefSeq lists it as uncharacterized. Lineage: Eukaryota; Metazoa; Chordata; Mammalia; Chiroptera; Vespertilionidae. The transcript has 3 exons. The record is from RefSeq and is a predicted model, not a curated record.